ACGAACGCUGGCGGCGCGCUUAACACAUGCCAGUCGAACGGAAAGGCCUGCUUUCCCUUGUGGAUUGCGGGUACUCGAGUGGCGAACGGGUGAGUAACACGUGAGUGAUCUGCCCCCAACUUGGGUAUAAGCCUGGGAAACUGGGUCUAAUUCCCGAUAGGACUGCAGGGUGGUGCCUGUGGUGGAAAACGAUUUUCUAGUGGUUGGGGAUGAGCUCGCGGCCUAUCAGCUUGUUGGUGGGGUAAUGGCCUACCAAGGCGGCGACGGGUAGCCGGCCUGAGAGGGUGGACGGCCACAUUGGGACUGGGAUACGGCCCAGACUCCUACGGGAGGCAGCAGUGGGGAAUAUUGCACAAUGGGCGGAAGCCUGAUGCAGCGACGCCGCGUGGGGGAUGACGGCCUUCGGGUUGUAAACUCCUUUCGACCGCGAGGAAGCCACCUGGUUGGAAGGGUGGUGACGGUAGUGGUAGAAGAAGCACCGGCUAACUACGUG
This 493-nucleotide ribosomal RNA is filed under the name uncultured bacterium. RNAcentral describes it as "partial 16S ribosomal RNA". It matches the Rfam family "Bacterial small subunit ribosomal RNA", at positions 29 to 507 of the family's 1533-position model. The record is from RNAcentral.